CCCUUAGAUGUUCUGGGCCGCACGUGCGCUACACUGAUGCAUUCAACGAGUUUCUUCCUGGUCCGAGAGGAAUGGGUAACCUUUUGAAAGUGCAUCGUGAUAGGGAUAGACUAUUGCAAUUAUUGGUCUUCGACGAGGAAUUCCUAGUAGACGUAGUUCAUCAGACUGCAUCGAUUACGUCCCUGCCCUUUGUACACACCGCCCGUCGCUCCUACCGAUUGAAUGCUCAGGUGAGCCAUUCGGACUUUCAUCAUGCUGGUUUCCAGUUUUGAUGAAGGAAAGUCUUGCGAACCUUAUCAUUUAGAGGAAGGAGAAGUCGUAACA
Molecule: ribosomal RNA, 324 nt
Filed under: uncultured eukaryote
Lineage: Eukaryota
Description: partial 18S ribosomal RNA
Rfam family: Eukaryotic small subunit ribosomal RNA
Source: RNAcentral